Molecule: ribosomal RNA, 721 nt
Filed under: Pseudomonas sp.
Lineage: Bacteria; Pseudomonadati; Pseudomonadota; Gammaproteobacteria; Pseudomonadales; Pseudomonadaceae
Description: bacterial SSU rRNA
Rfam family: Bacterial small subunit ribosomal RNA
Source: RNAcentral
CUACACAUGCAAGUCGAGCGGUAGAGAGAUGCUUGCAUCUCUUGAGAGCGGCGGACGGGUGAGUAAUGCCUAGGAAUCUGCCUGGUAGUGGGGGAUAACGUCCGGAAACGGACGCUAAUACCGCAUACGUCCUACGGGAGAAAGCAGGGGACCUUCGGGCCUUGCGCUAUCAGAUGAGCCUAGGUCGGAUUAGCUAGUUGGUGAGGUAAAGGCUCACCAAGGCGACGAUCCGUAACUGGUCUGAGAGGAUGAUCAGUCACACUGGAACUGAGACACGGUCCAGACUCCUACGGGAGGCAGCAGUGGGGAAUAUUGGACAAUGGGCGAAAGCCUGAUCCAGCCAUGCCGCGUGUGUGAAGAAGGUCUUCGGAUUGUAAAGCACUUUAAGUUGGGAGGAAGGGUACUUACCUAAUACGUGAGUAUUUUGACGUUACCGACAGAAUAAGCACCGGCUAACUCUGUGCCAGCAGCCGCGGUAAUACAGAGGGUGCAAGCGUUAAUCGGAAUUACUGGGCGUAAAGCGCGCGUAGGUGGUUCGUUAAGUUGGAUGUGAAAUCCCCGGGCUCAACCUGGGAACUGCAUCCUAAACUGGCGAGCUAGAGUAUGGUAGAGGGUGGUGGAAUUUCCUGUGUAGCGGUGAAAUGCGUAUAUAUAGGAAGGAACACCAGUGGCGAAAGCGACCACCUGGACUGAUACUGACACUGAUGUGCGAAAGCGUGUG